GAUGAACGCUGGCGGCGUGCCUAAUACAUGCAAGCCGAGCGAACGGACGAGAAGCUUGCUUCUCUGAUGUUAGCGGCGGACGGGUGAGUAACACGUGGAUAACCUACCUAUAAGACUGGGAUAACUUCGGGAAACCGUAGCUAAUACCGGAUAAUAUUUUGAACCGCAUGGUUCAAAAGUGAAAGACGGUCUUGCUGUCACUUAUAGAUGGAUCCGCGCUGCAUUAGCUAGUUGGUAAGGUAACGGCUUACCAAGGCAACGAUGCAUAGCCGACCUGAGAGGGUGAUCGGCCACACUGGAACUGAGGCACGGUCCAGACUCCUACGGGAGGCAGCAGUAGGGAAUCUUCCGCAAUGGGCGAAAGCCUGACGGAGCAACGCCGCGUGAGUGAUGAAGGUCUUCGGAUCGUAAAACUCUGUUAUUAGGGAAGAACAUAUGUGUAAGUAACUGUGCACAUCUUGACGGUACCUAAUCAGAAAGCCACGGCUAACUACGUG
This 497-nucleotide ribosomal RNA is filed under the name uncultured bacterium. Its description in RNAcentral is "partial 16S ribosomal RNA". It matches the Rfam family "Bacterial small subunit ribosomal RNA", at positions 28 to 507 of the family's 1533-position model. The record is from RNAcentral.